This 457-nucleotide ribosomal RNA is filed under the name uncultured beta proteobacterium. RNAcentral's name for it is "bacterial SSU rRNA". It matches the Rfam family "Bacterial small subunit ribosomal RNA", at positions 982 to 1438 of the family's 1533-position model. The record is from RNAcentral. Lineage: Bacteria; Pseudomonadati; Pseudomonadota; Betaproteobacteria.
UGACAUGUACCGAAUUGAGCAGAGAUGUUCAAGUGCUCGAAAGAGAACGGUAACACAGGUGCUGCAUGGCUGUCGUCAGCUCGUGUCGUGAGAUGUUGGGUUAAGUCCCGCAACGAGCGCAACCCUUGCCAUUAAUUGCCAUCAUUUAGUUGGGCACUUUAAUGGGACUGCCGGUGACAAACCGGAGGAAGGUGGGGAUGACGUCAAGUCCUCAUGGCCCUUAUGGCCAGGGCUUCACACGUAAUACAAUGGUCGGUACAGAGGGUUGCCAACCCGCGAGGGGGAGCCAAUCCCAGAAAGCCGAUCGUAGUCCGGAUUGUAGUCUGCAACUCGACUGCAUGAAGUCGGAAUCGCUAGUAAUCGCGGAUCAGCAUGUCGCGGUGAAUACGUUCCCGGGCCUUGUACACACCGCCCGUCACACCAUGGGAGUGGGUUUUACCAGAAGUAGUUAGUCUAA